This 20-nucleotide non-coding RNA is filed under the name Mus musculus (house mouse). The record is from RNAcentral. Lineage: Eukaryota; Metazoa; Chordata; Mammalia; Rodentia; Muridae.
AUAUGACUCCUGGUGAUUGG